Molecule: long non-coding RNA, 7960 nt
Organism: Zea mays
Lineage: Eukaryota; Viridiplantae; Streptophyta; Magnoliopsida; Poales; Poaceae
Exons: 3
Source: RefSeq, a predicted model, not a curated record
GACUAUAGUUUCUAUAGCAAAGUUGGAUACCAGAUAUAGAUGGACAAGUUUCAUGCAAGGAGAUGGUCCUGUUGUUAUGUAAAGAUUGAGAGAUAAUGGAGCUGUAACGUCCUCUGUCAGAAAUAGUGAGGGCUGUUCAGUUAAGCUGAGACCGAGUGUUUGACUGUUUCUGCUAUAAUUUGGAACACCACAACUUCAAUUCUGAGUAGUUUCAGCUUUGGAGUGUUGUACCAAAGUGGAAGACCUAUGGUUGGAGAAUAAGGCUUGUUAAGGGAGAUGGGUCUGUUGUCAUAUGGAAUUGUGAGUAAAAUGCUCUCUAAUAUGCCUUGUCAGACUUAAAGGGUUGCAUUUGAGUUCAGCUCUCUGAAGAAGAGUUUCAGAGUGUGUGCUUGGCUUUGGAACCUUAUAGUUUGUGAUCCAUGUGUUUCUAGCAGUGGAAUGUUGUAGUGGGUUGAAGAGCUAUAGUCAAUGAGCAAGUUUCCUAUGAUUAAAUUAAGGUGUUGCUACAGGGAAAAUGUAAGGGAAUGACCUUGAAAGGCCCCUGUCAGUCCAGCUAAGCAACAGUAAUUCGUUUAGGACUGAAGACAGUUUCUGAAGAAGAUUAUCUCCUCUCCCUGCUGGUUUCUUUGGAUGUUUGGGUAGGGAUAAGGUCGAAGUCCAGAGCCAGGGAUCUAGUGGCCUCAGAUCUACUAAAAAAUAUCCAAAUUUUGACCUAUUUUGUGAGCAGUGAAUGAGAGGGGGUCCUCAUCUAAUGAAUCUUUAAUGGGGUAUGCUGGACAGCAGCAGUUCUAGUGGCUUCAUCCCUUUAGAAAUAUCAGUUUGGAUCCAUUUAAGUCUGCACACACUAGAAUUCUUAUCUGUUGGUUUACUGUCUACAGAAAGGGACAAAUCAGAUAUUUGGCUGCUAGAAGUGACCAAGUUCAGUUUUUCUUGCCGUGACCAACUUUGGAAUAGGAUGAAGAUUGGGAUGGUGUGCUGGCAAGGGUAUUCAGAUUGGUGCAUCCCUGAAAUAUCACCUGUGCAAAUAUCCUGUACAGUGCACCUCAUCCUUACCCCCUCUUUUCUUUUGCCCAUGGAUAAUCUCCACCCUGCGUAGCUAGGCUCUAUGUGUUGGCGUGGAUUUACUGGAGGAAGCCACGACUGCAUUUAGAGUUCAUAGCUGUCCUUGCUGCAAGUUCAAGCAUCCAACCCCUGUGAUCUUUUCCCUGCCUAUAUAAAGAGCAACUGGGGAGGGAAAGGUAGGAACCCAACCAGUGAUCCUUAGUUCACCAUCAACCAUGUUGAGCAGCCAUGAUUAGUAGUACUACACCCCCAAAUCAUACCCUAGACACACCUAAGUUCCAUCGAUCAAGGCACCAAACUUAUUUGAUGACCACCCCGGCAACACCUCGGCUUCACGUGGCCAGACGACUGUGAAAACGAAGAAGAGAGUGAAGUGACUGAAGAGAAGACGCCACCACCUUUGGAAUCUCAGGCAGGGACUUGGCUCUACUUCGACAUCUGCGGGUCCGAGCCUGACUCACCUACUAACGAAGGCAAGCCCCGGUGCAUGCAACCCUUUCCUUGUGUUUUUAAAUAAUUUUCGCACACUUUAAGUCUAAUGAAAUGUGCAUUAGGUUCAUAGGAGUUGCUUGGAACCCUUUGAUGCAUUGCUUUCCUUGAUAUCCAUACCUUUAUAGAUACUUCAGUGAAGUAUCAAAAUAUGAUUUACAAAAAUGCUUAGCCUUGCUCAGAUCUUGUGGAUAGAGGUUGUCCUUAGCCUAGCUCGAGAAAGGAUGACUUCUACCUGCAAGAAUAUUUUCAUUUGGAGCAAUGGUGGGAUCUUACUGUAAAGUUCCCUAUGAUGCUCUUCUCAUCCUAAGGAACAGAAACAAUCCUAAGGAUGGGAAUACUUAAAUUGAGACUUGGGUUAGGAACAGGUGAUGUUCUACCCAGGUUGAUUAAGGAUUGAACGUGUAUGUAGGCGUGCUGAUCGAGGACCCUUUAACUGGUCACAUGCCUCGUCAUGGGUAAGCCUUGCCUCGGGAAGACUAAGGCCAAAAUAAGAUAACACGAAAUGGGCGUGGAGCGGUGGCGAGAGUAGCGUGUACCCUCCGUGGCAAGAGGCUGGACGGUGGUGUAUCUGUGCUCUCGGUUUGCGUGAACCUGAUCUGGUCUUAAGAACCCCGGUGGCGGGUUGACAUAUGCAAGGGUUAAGUGCUACAUAUGUCGUGUGAUUGGAGAUCCUCAGCUGAGUAUAAUCGAUUCAGAUCGCCGUACCUUCGCGGUUAUGAAGACUUGGUCACUUCCCUACAACCUAAGUCAGGAUGUGAACAUUAUGAAUAAAAAUGAUGUUGUAUUGAUGAGAUGGUGAAAUUAGACUAGAUGCAAAUAGAGUCUAUUAAUACUUAAUAUGGUGUUAAAAUAUUGAAAGUAAGGACUCACUUUAGUAAGCUAUUUCUGCAAAAGUAUCUAAGUUGAUUUUUGCUAAAGCCUCUCCUUGAUUCCUAAUUAUCCAGCAUACCCUUGAGAGUCUUUUUCUUAGUCGGGUAAGACUUGGUGAGUAAUUCCAUACUCAGGGUUUAUCCCUCCGUUGUUUUUAGGUGAGGAAGCGACAAAUUUUUGUUGCUUUUGCUCCAAGGUGGUGUCAAAUGAAGAAAAACAAGAGUGAAGAUGCGGGAGGACGUGGUCCUCCAUAAGAACCUUUGUUUGAUAGUUAUCGGGAGGAGUUUUUGCCUCCCCUGGUAUGUGUAAUAAUACUACCCUGCACUCGUUUUAUAACUCUGGUCUGUAAUAAAUAACUUGAUCUUACUUUCUAAAUAAAUGUAAGUUUAUAUAAUUGCUUCCGCAUUUCUAUAUCUCCGAUGUUCUGUAAUGUCUGCAAGACGGGUGAAACGCUCUUGGGAAAGGUGAGAAAAGAAGAUACCGAACUUGUCAAGUGAUUCAGGAACAUCUACAGGGUUGUCUGAUGUCUGUUGGACAAGGACAACUGUAGGUGGGCCUAAUUACUUGGGAGGUUCCGUCACAGCUGGUAUCGGAGCGAAGCCCAUCUCUGCAGAUAUUAUGAGGCAUCUUCAAAAAGAAUUUUCUAAAGACUUAUCUAAAAAAUUUCUUCCCUUCUUACCUAAGUGUUUCUGAAGAGUUUAUUUUAAAGACCAGAUAGGAAGAGUGUAAUGCAUAGAAGGUUGAAUCAACUAAGGUUGAUUCUGUAAUUAUACAUGCAUCAUGCUAAGAACUAUGCUAAUAAAAGAUUUCCCCCUUAGAGAAAUGUUGUCGCACACUAUUCUUAGAGGACAACCAUGGUAUGAGUAGUAGUGCGUAUUCCAGAACGUGCUAGAAAACCAUCUUGGCCACAUUGGAUGUUCCAUUCUAAAGGAAUGACUCCUUGGGAAGGAGCUUAGGUAACUGCCUUAGAGGUGUUGAACAACAUCGUGGUUAAGUAAAACAAAACACCUCCCCUACCUUGUAAGAGAAAUUAGGAAAUAAGUCCGUGACACGUUUCCUUUUCCAUUACUAAGCCUAGACUUUUAAAUCUCGGGACGAGAUUUCUUUUUAGGGGGGAAGGUUGUAACACCUCUGGUGUUACGUAAACUAAAACUCCGACAUGUCAUCAUAAGCAUCUGCAUUAAUGUGCUUGUUACACUUAGAAUGCAUUCACUAGGUUAAUUUUUUUUCAAACAGUGUGAUGUUGUGUGUUGUUAGAGUUUAGUUUAAGGACUUGGCUUAAGCUAGACAAGAGUAGGUCAACUCUUGAGCAAAUAACAAAUUGACUUGGAAACUUCAAGUGCUAAAGGCAAGUCCUAGAGUUUAUGGCAACCUUGUUUUCAAAGGUAGAGCAAGUGGAAGAAACACUUGAAGAAAAUGAAGAACAUGUGAAACACUAAAACUAGCCCAAAAGAGGAAUUCAAAAUCUAGAAGUAAUUUGACAAAAGUCCAUAUAUCAAAGUUGUGGAGCUUGAAAAAGUGAAUGAAUUUCUUAUUUGGAGAUUCCCAUGUUGUGUGAAGAAAAUUGGAGUAAAUCAUCAAAGUUCAGUUUUGAGCUCAGAUUGGAAUUGCUGAAAAUAGUAGCAACUAGGAAGUUUUGGUCCUUUAUAACUUCUGAUCUAUAAACAUUUUGAAGGUAGUCAUUGUAAAAAAAUUAUAAAGCUAUGUGAGGAGUGUGACUUUGAUUGAGUAACCUAGCCUUAAAUCUAUAUGGAAUUUGGAGAAGAACUGGUCUAAAGUAGAGCUGCUGGAAAGUGUGGGGUUCAAACUUAAUAAAAUACAGUCUGAAUUUCAGUAUUUUGUGCAAACUUUGGGUUGUGGUAGAGUGGAAUCCAAAAGGGUUUAGCUAAGGGUCACUAUAUAGAAAUUGUAGAGGAACUAUUGAAGUACAAAAUUUGUUAAGCAACUUUGCCUUAAAAGUAUAUGCUACCAGCAGAAAAGGUGGUCCAAAGAAGUGUUGACAGACUCAUGGAAUUUCAGAUAGUGAAUAGUGAAGUGAGUGGAGUUUCAGUGUUGAGUAUGCUGUUUGGAGCUCAUUUGUGGCUAAACCAUAGAACUUUGGACUAUGGUGUUUAUAGAGAAGUUGAAGUCCAUAUGAUGGUGAACAAGUUUUAUUAAGUGAGUUUGACAUGACCCCAUGCAAAAUUUGGAGUAAAGCUUGCCUAAAAAUGGACUGUCAGUAUAUUGGUGACUUAGUGGUUCAGAGCUGAAACUCUGAAAAACAGCCAAUGAUGCUCUGUUUGGAGCUCAGUUGUGAUUAAUAUAUAUGGUUUUAGACCAAGAGUUGUAUAUCAAAAUGGAAGACCAUAUAUAGGAGAACAAAUUUCUUUAAGUGAGUUUGGUUUGGUGCUACACAGAAAAAGGAGUAAAAGUGGCUCAAAAUUGGACUGUCAGGCUGGUUCCAACUGCUUUGGGUUCAGUCUCUGAAACCUGAAUUUCAGUAUAGGAUGCUUAAUUUGGAGCUGUUUUGUGAUCAAUAUGAGUAGUUUUAGACUAUAGUUUCUAUAGAAAAGUUGGAUACCAGAUAUAGAUGGACAAGUUUCAUGCAAGGAGAUGGUCCUGUUGUUAUGUAAAGAUUGAGAGAUAAUGGAGCUGUAACGUCCUCUGUCAGAAAUAGUGAGGGCUGUUCAGUUAAGCUGAGACCGAGUGUUUGACUGUUUCUGCUAUAAUUUGGAACACCACAACUUCAAUUCUGAGUAGUUUCAGCUUUGGAGUGUUGUACCAAAGUGGAAGACCUAUGGUUGGAGAAUAAGGCUUGUUAAGGGAGAUGGGUCUGUUGUCAUAUGGAAUUGUGAGUAAAAUGCUCUCUAAUAUGCCUUGUCAGACUUAAAGGGUUGCAUUUGAGUUCAGCUCUCUGAAGAAGAGUUUCAGAGUGUGUGCUUGGCUUUGGAACCUUAUAGUUUGUGAUCCAUGUGUUUCUAGCAGUGGAAUGCUGUAGUGGGUUGAAGAGCUAUAGUCAAUGAGCAAGUUUCCUAUGAUUAAAUUAAGGUGUUGCUACAGGGAAAAUGUAAGGGAAUGACCUUGAAAGGCCCCUGUCAGUCCAGCUAAGCAACAGUAAUUCGUUUAGGACUGAAGACAGUUUCUGAAGAAGAUUAUCUCCUCUCCCUGCUGGUUUCUUUGGAUGUUUGGGUAGGUAUAAGGUCGAAGUCCAGAGCCAGGGAUCUAGUGGCCUCAGAUCUACUAAAAAAUAUCCAAAUUUUGACCUAUUUUGUGAGCAGUGAAUGAGAGGGGGUCCUCAUCUAAUGAAUCUUUAAUGGGGUAUGCUGGACAGCAGCAGUUCUAGUGGCUUCAUCCCUUUAGAAAUAUCAGUUUGGAUCCAUUUAAGUCUGCACACACUAGAAUUCUUAUCUGUUGGUUUACUAUCUACAGAAAGGGACAAAUCAGAUAUUUGGCUGCUAGAAGUGACCAAGUUCAGUUUUUCUUGCCGUGACCAACUUUGGAAUAGGAUGAAGAUUGGGAUGGUGUGCUGGCAAGGGUAUUCAGAUUGGUGCAUCCCUGAAAUAUCACCUGUGCAAAUAUCCUGUACAGUGCACCUCAUCCUUACCCCCUCUUUUCUUUUGCCCAUGGAUAAUCUCCACCCUGCGUAGCUAGGCUCUAUGUGUUGGCGUGGAUUUACUGGAGGAAGCCACGACUGCAUUUAGAGUUCAUAGCUGUCCUUGCUGCAAGUUCAAGCAUCCAACCCCUGUGAUCUUUUCCCUGCCUAUAUAAAGAGCAACUGGGGAGGGAAAGGUAGAAACCCAACCAGUGAUCCUUAGUUCACCAUCAACCAUGUUGAGCAGCCAUGAUUAGUAGUACUACACCCCCAAAUCAUACCCUAGACACACCCAAGUUCCAUCGAUCAAGGCACCAAACUUAUUUGAUGACCACCCCGGCAACACCUCGGCUUCACGUGGCCAGACGACUGUGAAAACGAAGAAGAGAGUGAAGUGACUGAAGAGAAGACACCACCACCUUUGGAAUCUCAGGCAGGGACUUGGCUCUACUUCGACAUCUGCGGGUCCGAGCCUGACUCACCUACUAACGAAGGCAAGCCCCGGUGCAUGCAACCCUUUCCUUGUGUUUUUAAAUAAUUUUCGCACACUUUAAGUCUAAUGAAAUGUGCAUUAGGUUCAUAGGAGUUGCUUGGAACCCUUUGAUGCAUUGCUUUCCUUGAUAUCCAUACCUUUAUAGAUACUUCAGUGAAGUAUCAAAAUAUGAUUUACAAAAAUGCUUAGCCUUGCUCAGAUCUUGUGGAUAGAGGUUGUCCUUAGCCUAGCUCGAGAAAGGAUGACUUCUACCUGCAAGAAUAUUUUCAUUUGGAGCAAUGGUGGGAUCUUACUGUAAAGUUCCCUAUGAUGCUCUUCUCAUCCUAAGGAACAGAAACAAUCCUAAGGAUGGGAAUACUUAAAUUGAGACUUGGGUUAGGAACAGGUGAUGUUCUACCCAGGUUGAUUAAGGAUUGAACGUGUAUGUAGGCGUGCUGAUCGAGGACCCUUUAACUGGUCACAUGCCUCGUCAUGGGUAAGCCUUGCCUCGGGAAGACUAAGGCCAGAAUAAGAUAACACGAAAUGGGCGUGGAGCGGUGGCGAGAGUAGCGUGUACCCUCCGUGGCAAGAGGCUGGACGGUGGUGUAUCUGUGCUCUCGGUUUGCGUGAACCUGAUCUGGUCUUAAGAACCCCGGUGGCGGGUUGACAUAUGCAAGGGUUAAGUGCUACAUAUGUCGUGUGAUUGGAGAUCCUCAGCUGAGUAUAAUCGAUUCAGAUCGCCGUACCUUCGCGGUUAUGAAGACUUGGUCACUUCCCUACAACCUAAGUCAGGAUGUGAACAUUAUGAAUAAAAAUGAUGUUGUAUUGAUGAGAUGGUGAAAUUAGACUAGAUGCAAAUAGAGUCAAUUAAUACUUAAUAUGGUGUUAAAAUAUUGAAAGUAAGGACUCACUUUAGUAAGCUAUUUCUGCAAAAGUAUCUAAGUUGAUUUUUGCUAAAGCCUCUCCUUGAUUCCUAAUUAUCCAGCAUACCCUUGAGAGUCUUUUCCUUAGUCGGGUAAGACUUGGUGAGUAAUUCCAUACUCAGGGUUUAUCCCUCCGUUGUUUUUAGGUGAGGAAGCGACAAAUUUUUGUUGCUUUUGCUCCAAGGUGGUGUCAAAUGAAGAAAAACAAGAGUGAAGAUGCGGGAGGACGUGGUCCUCCAUAAGAACCUUUGUUUGAUAGUUAUCGGGAGGAGUUUUUGCCUCCCCUGGUAUGUGUAAUAAUACUACCCUGCACUCGUUUUAUAACUCUGGUCUGUAAUAAAUAACUUGAUCUUACUUUCUAAAUAAAUGUAAGUUUAUAUAAUUGCUUCCGCAUUUCUAUAUCUCCGAUGUUCUGUAAUGUCUGCAAGACGGGUGAAACGCUCUUGGGAAAGGUGAGAAAAGAAGAUACCGAACUUGUCAAGUGAUUCAGGAACAUCUACAGGGUUGUCUGAUGUCUGUUGGACAAGGACAACUGUAGGUGGGCCUAAUUACUUGGGAGGUUCCGUCACA